This is a transfer RNA of 71 nucleotides. It matches the Rfam family "tRNA". Rfam says of the family: Transfer RNA (tRNA) molecules are approximately 80 nucleotides in length. Their secondary structure includes four short double-helical elements and three loops (D, anti-codon, and T loops). Further hydrogen bonds mediate the characteristic L-shaped molecular structure. tRNAs have two regions of fundamental functional importance: the anti-codon, which is responsible for specific mRNA codon recognition, and the 3' end, to which the tRNAs corresponding amino acid is attached (by aminoacyl-tRNA synthetases). tRNAs cope with the degeneracy of the genetic code in two manners: having more than one tRNA (with a specific anti-codon) for a particular amino acid; and 'wobble' base-pairing, i.e. permitting non-standard base-pairing at the 3rd anti-codon position. The record is from Rfam.
AGGGAUAUAGUUUAACGGUAGAACGUCGGUCUCCAAAACCGCCGGUGCGGGUUCGAUUCCUGCUAUCCCUG